GGGAUCCCUGGGUUCUACGCGGUCGCCCUAGUAACUCGUGCGUGACCUGCCUGUUGGACUGGGAUAACUCCUGGAAACCGGGGCUAAUACCGGAUAAUUCUUUCCCUCACCUGAGGAAGGGGUGAUCGAUGGUUGCGGCUAUCACUUACCGAUGGAUCCGUAGCGCAUUAGCUAGUUGGUGAGGUAACGGUUCACCAAGGCCACUAUGCGUAGCCAACCUGAGAGGGUGAUCGGUCACACUGGGACUGAGACCCGGCCCAUACUCCUACGGGAGGCGGCAGUAGGGAAUCUUCCGCAAUGGACCAAAGUCUGACGGAGCAACGCCGCGUGAGUGGUGAAGGUUUUCGGAUCGUAUAACUCUGUUGAUAGGGAAGAACAAGUACCGGAGUAACUGCCGGUACCUUGACGGUACCUAACCAGAAAGCCACGGCUAACUACGUGCCAGCAGCCGCGGGAAUACGGAAGUGGCAAGCGUUGUCCGGAAUUAUUGGGCGUAAAGCGC
This 502-nucleotide ribosomal RNA is filed under the name Bacillus sp. (in: firmicutes). Its description in RNAcentral is "bacterial SSU rRNA". It matches the Rfam family "Bacterial small subunit ribosomal RNA", at positions 77 to 568 of the family's 1533-position model. The record is from RNAcentral. Lineage: Bacteria; Bacillati; Bacillota; Bacilli; Caryophanales; Bacillaceae.